Long non-coding RNA from Megalopta genalis, 1926 nucleotides. RefSeq lists it as uncharacterized. The record is from RefSeq and is a predicted model, not a curated record. Lineage: Eukaryota; Metazoa; Arthropoda; Insecta; Hymenoptera; Halictidae.
CCAAAGUGUCCAUUUCUGUGGACAAUCUGAGCGUCAGUAAGGGAGACAAUUUGAGCGUCAAUUAGAGAGACAUUACAAGAGACAUAUUCCAAUCUGGUUCUGGAACAAGAAACACGAAACUAGAGUCAGAGCUGAUUUUAGAAGAAGAGAGAAGGAGGAUAAAAAGUGGUCGCAUAGGAAAGAGGCACCCCCAAUCCUGAGGCAGCGGAACCUGUCCAUGUGGAUGGACCAUGGGAUGAGACUCGACACGAUGGUCUCCCAGGUGACAGCAAGGCCAGAGGCACUGGAGGAACACGGUCCGAAGGAAGGCCGGCCCAUAGAUGUGUUAUGUGCAAUCGUGGUGUGGAUCAUUUACAGCGUUGUUACAACGUUUGAUAAUAUGCGAAUGUGAACGUAGGAAGAAAGAAACAACGAUGCAUUCUCCUGCGAUAGAAGAGAAUUGGAACUUAUUAUAUGCGACGGUUCUGUCCAGUUGGAUUCGUUCUCUUCCUCCUUCUCUCCGUCCGCCUCUUCUCUCUCGCCUCUCUCUUGUUCUUGCUCGCUGGAUGGAGUGGCCGACGGUGUCUGCGUCAUAUUAACGUUACGUGCCCGCAAUUCGGCCAGGAAAUCGUUCUCUUGCUGGUAGCGACGUUGCAGCUCUUCCCGCCACGAAUUUCCACCGCCACUACUAUCAUCCCCGUCUUCACCAGCCUCGAAGUCUAACAGACGAAAAUCAUUUCGACAUUAUGUCUUUUCAAAAUAGAAAACUAUUUUUUUUUUGUACAUUCAUGUGUAGUUCAUGGUAACACUUUUAUCUUUCAUUGUUCUGAGCGAAUUAAUGUCAAGUUUACUGGAGCUUAGCGUAUACAAGUAUGCAAGAUGAGACAUUCAUAAUGGAAUACUUAAAUGUCCUUUUUACUUACAAUUAUAUGUGUAAAGAAACUAAGGAGAAAGUUAUGCUACUCUUAAAUAUUUUAAAUAGCAUCGUUCAUCGUGUAUGAAAAAGAUUAUGUCUGCGUGGAGGUCAAAUUUAUGAUGAUAGGGAUCCAAAAAAAUAAGCUAAACAUAAGAAUAAUACUUUAUAAAAUUAUAGAAGUAAAUGAUAUGGUUUCUACAUUUAAAUAACAUUGAUGACUUUGGAACUUUGAACUGAAAAGAAGGAAGAUCAUGAUUCGUUUCAAACGAUGUUUUCAUAUGUAUAAUUAUAAUUAACAGCGACAUUCAAGUAUUCCUGUAUAAACAUUCCAUCCUGGAUAUAUAUAUAUAUAUAUACAAUAAAGGUAUCGAUGUGUUUCUUGUCGAUAAGAUAAAUUAUAACUAGAAUUUUUAAACAUUAAUCUACAAUUUAGAUCAAAUUAGUCUACGAAUUCUUUAGCUUUAGUUGUACGGUUACAGUAUUCUAUUGUAUAAUCGAGUAUAAAUGAAAUUCUAGAUAAUUGGUACUAGUUCUGAGAGUAACAAUAAUACAGUCUUUGCUAUCGUAUGUGAAUGAAAUUAUUACAGAGAUGUAACCGAUGAGAAUAUAACAUUAAUAAUUUAACAUUGAUACUCUACAUUCUGAAAUAGCGGACCACUUUUCAUAAUGCUCAUUCAUGGUAUAAAUAAUUAAACUAAUGCAAAGAAAGCAAGUGAUGUCAUAUUUUGCAAAUGCUUGUGAGAAUGUAAAAAAGUUAACAAUAAUGUUCGGUAUUUCAACAAACUCUUACCUAACGGCUUUCUGAUGUUAAGACGGCCAGAGUUGUGAGAAUGAUCCUCCUGGUCUGAGUCUGCAAGCCACCAGGACACAUUCACAGGGGGUGCAUAUCACACACAUUCCACAACACGUCUAAAGUGUUAUUUGUAUAGGAACAUCUAUUUGUUAUCCGGUACAGAGAACAUUUUUCAAGAACUUUGAAUAUAUGUAUAUUAUUCCUGAUUUCAAAUAAAUCAAAUGUUUAGUGACACGUU